RNAcentral lists this long non-coding RNA (2720 nucleotides) under Heterocephalus glaber (naked mole-rat). Its description in RNAcentral is "lncRNA (ENSHGLG00100042133.1)". Lineage: Eukaryota; Metazoa; Chordata; Mammalia; Rodentia; Bathyergidae. The record is from RNAcentral.
GGCUGGUGGAGCCCCUGGCCGGCUUCCAGGCAGACUGUGUUCUGAGCUGGGCUUCUCGUGGCCCGGAUGCCAGCAUUUGGCUGUCGCUUCUCUGAAGCUGUUUAAUUUCUCCGGAGAAGAGCCUUGCACCCCUGCCUGGCUUUGGGAGCGAGAAUAGAGUAGGAGAAGCCGGACCCUCUGCUGAGGCCUGCAGUUCAGUCGUUCUCGGCUUCUGCCCGUUCCCUGGACGCCUGGACCCAGGGUGAAGGUGGGCCCUGCUGGGGAGCUGGAGGACAGCGGGGCACCCACAGGUUCCCUCUUUGUAUCCCCGCUGUUCCCCAGGCCUGUGGGCUCACGGUGUCCUCUGUCCACACCCCUCUGAGCCCGGAAACUUCCUGACCUCUCUUGUUUCCCUGCUUUGUCUUUCCCUCUCCCCAUCCUUGUGGUUUUAUAUCACUUAUCAUGUUCAUUGUUUCUUUUUUUUAAUCUAUUUUUCUUCCUUUCCUCCCAUUUUAGUUUUGGGGGAAAGCCAUAAUAACCAUAGGUAGACAGUCACCAUCAUAUCUCUUUUUAAGGAAAUGUUCCUCAAAAUUGGUUCAAAUCAUAAAAAUAAUUCGUGUACAUUUAGACAUCACAGAAGUAGAAAGAACCAAAAAUAUAGUAAUCUAUUGGAGGCUGAUCAGACCCUCAAUCACUUACUCAAGUGUAUGAUGGUGAGAUUAAAAAAGAGAAGAUCUUACUGCAUAAAGGAGGGGCCCAGGGCGGUCAUGGCUCUCAUCAGGCUAAGACACUGUCUCCGGGGCUCGCCAGUAUUUACUGAACACGCAGCUCCUAGAAGGGGUAAGGGCAGAGCAGCGAACAGUGGAGUGGAGGGGGCUGAUUUGAGCAGGGUCCUAGCAACAAGGGAACGAGACAUUCUAGCAAGAGCAGCUCAUAGAUAAAUGGGAGAUUUGUUUCUUCGAGCGGAUUAAUUUUGCCUCUCUAGGAGUUUUCUGUACGAGUUGUGCUGCCCUUAGCGGCACUACUGUCUUGCUAUGCAAGACGUCACAGCAUCACGGAUCAUUGAGACUUCCGCUCUGACCAGUGGUGUGGGGAGUUGUUCCGUUCCCGCACACCAGCUGCCGGCUUUUCAGGCAAGCAUGGUGGGCUAAGAGGCAGACUCAGACUUUUACUAUGAAAGCCAAUUUAUAUGAAUGUGCAGCUCCCUCAGGGUGGUUUCCAUCAGUCAUCCCACUCAUAAGGCACAUUUCCUUCUUACUGUUCUUCAAAGAAUUGUACACAUUUGACAUCAGUCUGUAAAGAUAAUUUUUAUGUUUUGCUCUUUCACUUAUAGUAUUGCAAUGAAAGUUUCCUAUGUUAUGAAACUUCUGGAGAUGUUUUGACAAUAAUUGAUCCUGUGUUGCACAAAAGUUUACUUAGUUAUCUCCUGCGGUUUAGCCUCUAGGCUGUUUUCUAUUAGUUCAUGCUCACGACCUUUGCACAGAAAGCUUGUUUUAUUUUAAAAUUUUUAAAUUUGAGAAGUUUUGUCAUAGAGCAAUAUAGUGGAAGAAAUGCCAGCUUCCAGAUAGACAUUCUUGUCGUAAUCCCCAGAACCCAGGAAGGUGACCUUAUUUGGGAAAAGGGUUGUUGCAGGUGUCACAAAAUGAAGAAUCUUGAAAGGCGAUUUUCCUGGAUUGACUGAGCGGCCUACAGCACGAUGACCAUGUUCUUGGGAGAGAGGAGGGGUCACAGGCUGAGGAAGUGGCUGCCUCCACAGCUGGAAGAGCCCAGGAACAGAAUUUUCUGUCAGCACUGUGGUUGUGGAUUUCUGGCCUCCAGUUCUGCUGUUUGAUGCCAUCGAGUUUGUGGUACUUUGUUACGGUUGCCCCAGAAAACAGACGGCAGCGGGGGCUCCCGUAGAGGGAGCUCGAGUGGCAGUGCCCUUGCCUGCAGUCGGGUUAACAGGCUUCGCGGAGAGCCGGACCCUGCUGCACCGAUAAACCUGCCUCUGGGCCCGGGGCAGGCGCAGGGGUGAAGCCACGUCCCGGCAAAGAGCCCUGACGGUGACCGACCGCUGUCCACACCGGGCUGCGCCCCAGGCCGCCUCUGCGCCACCUCCCAAGCCGCCUGGGUUUGCGUCCGCCGUUUAAUGAGGCCUCCUUCCGAGACUCCAGAAAAGUGUUUUCGGGCGCGAGGCACAGAGUUGGUCAAGGCAGACAGUGCUGGCAGCAGGCCUUGGGCUGGGCAAGCGGAGAAGUAAGGACUCACUGGACUGAUUCAUUGACUCCACUGAGCGGCCCGAUUGGACUUGUGUGUUCUGAAGCAUAACGAGAAGCAUCACUGCUUCACAUUUUUCCCAAAGGGAGGACUUUUUAAAAAUUUGAUAGGUUAAAUUAAAAAGAAUUUUUUUUUGAGUCAAGGUCUCCCUGUGUAGUUCAGACUGGUCUAGAACUCACAGAGAUCUUCCUGCCUCAGCCUCCCAAGUGCUGGAAUUACAGGCACCACACCCAGGUAAAUAUAAAAUCUUUUAUGGAUGUAGAUGACGUCAGUUAUAUUAAAUAUACCCUACAUCAACUAUUUUAAGCAUACAUUUGAAAUUUUACCAGUGGUAGCAUUGAGAAACAGAAUAUGGGUAAUUUAUCCAGAGAUACACAGUUGAAAAGUGAAAGAAAUAGAAUAUAAGCCCUGGCAUUGACUUUAGGGCCCACUGUCCUAACCACUGUGUUAUUAGUAUAGUUACACAUACUAUAUUGUAAGAUAAU